Panonychus citri (citrus red mite) is the source of this 807-nucleotide long non-coding RNA. RefSeq lists it as uncharacterized. Lineage: Eukaryota; Metazoa; Arthropoda; Arachnida; Trombidiformes; Tetranychidae. The transcript has 2 exons. The record is from RefSeq and is a predicted model, not a curated record.
GUUAUCGCCUCGAGGAACAGCUGAUUGGGUGUUUUUAUUGAAAAAGAAUAAUUAAUUUCGCUUGUGUUUUUCUCCAUCUAUUUUUAUCUGUCAAUUUAUUCGGUGAAUUUAGUUUUCUUCGUCCAAUAGCCAAUGGAACUGUGUCAAGAUGUCAUCACGGGUUUGUCUUUGCUCCGAGAUGAUUCGAGGGUAAACAAGUCGCAGUUAAUUGAAUUGAUUUCGACAAUCGGCCAAUCUUUGACUUGCGGAAUUGGCUCUUCCCUGGACAAGGCCAUGGACUCGGCUGAACUUAAAUUAGUUGGUUUGGCGAUCGUGAGUGUCUUUCUUGAGACUGCGAAAAAUAACAAAGCUUUGAACGAGGAAAUGUUGUUGAUUGAAACGUCACUUAAUGAGGCUGCUGUUGACUCUCAUUUCACUCAACUAAUUGUGGAUGAAUACAAGAUAUGAAAGAAAGUACUCUCAGUGAACUGAUUGACACGAGAUGGAGACAAGAUGUAAUAAUCAAGUCUAAAUAUCGUAAUCAAGUGAAUGAAAUCAACUACCUGGUUGAUUUAUUAAACAAUCACGGAAGGAGAAUCAGCUUUUCAUCUGAUCUCCCGGGUUUGCAAGAUUUAGGUUACCAAUUAAAGGAUUGUUGUAAGGCCGUCGAAAACACUUUCAAAAUUGUUAACUGACCAAUUCUUUUAUGUGUUUAUUUUCCAGAUACAAUCUUAUUAUUCUGAUUAUGAAAUGAUUAACCGAAUUACUUGCAGGUAUCUAAUGAAAAUUGUUUAUUAAACAAUCAACUUGAUUCUCUUUUUCUCUUUU